CAGGGUAUUUCAAGAAAUAAACGUAUAAAAUGCAUAUUUUUGAAGGACAACCCAGUAUUUCAUUGUAUUUUUACAUUCUUUCUGAAGAUCUGAUUUUAUCGAUUGAUCGCACUCGUGGUCUAGUGAAUACGAUUAGAGAUAUACAGGGUCACGUCAAACGACACAGAAGAUGGUAACUAAAUCUAUUGAUUUCUUGAAAGUUACGAUUUUGUGACAGGUAGAGGUCUAUCAGGGGUACAUUUAAAAAUUAUUUUCAUGAUAUACAGGGUAUCCUCAAAACAUUGAAUAUAUCAAAGUUGUGUAUAAAAUGAUUCAUUUCUUAUCACUUUUUCAGGUUCUCUCUGUAAGGCUGAUUUCAUUAAUCUAUCACACUUUGAGUCUAGCUGAAACGAUGACAGAAAUAUUUGGUCUAAAAAUUCGAUAUUUUUCAUUUGUAAAAUUUUUGUGUCGAAUAUAUUCAUUAUUGGUCAAAAAAGCUAACAUGUUUCUAUCUCAACUAUUUACUGGUAUUUAAACAAUUCACAAACAGGGUGAUUCAAAAUUCUGAAUGUUUCAUUUAAAUAUCAAUUGAUAUUGAAUCAAAUGUUGUGAUAGCGACAUGUGAGCCAUUUUGACCAAUUAUGAAUAGUUUCGAUACAAAAAAUUCCUAAAGUUCGAAAAAUCUUGAUUUUUUACAGCCUAUAUAGGUACCUAAAUAUAAACGUUCCAGUUAGACUCAAAGUAUGAUUGAUUGAUGAAAUCAGCUCACCAGGCAGAAUAUGAAAAUGCAAUGAACUAUAGGGUGUUCCGUAAAAAAAAUCAACUUAGAUGUGCCACAAUUUUUAGGACAUCCUGUAUCAAUGAACCUAUUUCAGAAAUGUCGUCCAGAUUGAUGUACAUUCUCCUGCAAUGAAGAAAAUGAGAAACACGGAAGGGAUGCAUUACUAUUGAUUUUUCCGAAAACUGAAACACAUUUUUAAUAACGAAUUUUUUAUUUACAUAUUCAGAUUUCCAAGAUGCAUCGAUAUCUUCAUCUACUGAUGAAUCAUCGACCAAAACUAUCAGUCCAGAGAUUCUACCCAUACCAACAAUACUAAUCAGCUUAGAACAAGUCGCGAGUUUGCAAACUGUUAGAUCUUUGAAUAUUGAAGACAACGAUCAAUUAUUAUCAGAACCCAAACCUUUUGGUUCUGGUGGCUCUUCUGGAUCUGAAUACAUACCUAGGGAUGAGUCCCGUAGCAGUACGAUAAUACCGGAAACUCCUGAAAAUCUAUUAUCAAGUGAAAAUUAUAUUGAUCAUGUUUCCCAAAGUGUACCUGUUGAUAAUUCCGAAAACCUUUUUUCAAUGAAUACCGACAUGAAAAUCGAUAAGCUUUCAUCCAUCCGGUGUAACUAGUUCUACUGAUCAGAAAAAUCUAACAAAAGAACAAGUUCAAAUAAAAUGUGCAAGAAAAGAAUAUGGUGGUAAAAGAAUUGGGGAUAAAGACCACAGUUGUUAUUUUUGUCACAAGUUACUUCGUAAUUUAGCCAGACAUUUUGAAAGGGCACAUAGUAAUGAAACGGAAGUUGCUAGAAUCCUGAGUAUGCCAAAGAAAUCCAAGAGACGAAGAGAUGCAUUCAAUGCUUUGACGCGUAAUGGUGAUUUCUAUCAUAAUUGCGACGUGCUCUUAUUAAAAAAAGGAGAACUCAUCUUAACUCGUAGACCAAACGAGCAAGAAAAACAAUUUUCAAAAUAUUCUGACUAUGGUCCUUGACCCGAAUGUCUAGGUUUCAUGUGAAAAAGACAUCUAUGGCAUCAUCUUAAAUACUCAUGUGCCUGCAUGAAGGAUAAAAAUAUUUCAAAUUCUAUAAAAACAUCACGACAACCAGCUGCUGAGAGCACCUCUUUACUGAAUGGAAUUUAUGGUCACAAUCUGACAGAAGACUUUCGAUCAAAUAUUUUGAACAAACUACGAAAUGAUGACAUAUCUGAAAUAUGUCGCAAAGAUGAUGUUAUCUUACGAUAUGGAGCAUUUCUCUUUGAAAAAUACAGUAGCACUCAAGCAGAACUGAUUAGACAAUCUAUGCGGCAACUUGGGAGGUUAACAAUGGAAAUCACUAAGGGAAAUACCGAUGUGAACAAGUUAAUUGACUCUUUCAUCCCUGAAAAGUUUGACGCUGUUGUUUUAGCGACAAAGUCACUCUGUUCAACAUCUAACGAAGUAGCGAAAAGGACUGAAUUUGGAAUUCCGUCUUUAGCGUUGAAAAUUGGAUAUUCUAUUAGAAAGUGCAUUGGAAUCGAAAGAGGUUUAUGUUUGCGAAAGGGAGACCUGAAAAAAAAAUGAUAUAUUGUUGAGUUUUUUGUCAAUUUUGGAUUUGGAGUGGAGCGUUAGGAUUUCAUCCAAUGCACUAGCUACUUUGUAAUCCAGAAAACUCAAUUCUGUCGAUUUGCUUCCAAUAACUGGCGAUUUAAUCAAAUUGAGCAAAUUUUUAGAAUUCAUGAUCCGGGAAACUAAGAGUGAUAUGGAAAGAGAAACGAUUUUCUCAAAUUGGAGUAAACUAGCAUCAAUCACCUUGAGUCGAAUUAUUCUAUUCAAUAAAAGACGUUCAGGAGAAGCUGCAAGAAUGAAAAUCGAAAAUUACACUAACAGACCAUCAUGGAAAAGUCAAGGUGUAGCAGAAAUGAAAAAAACUUUAACGGAAUUCGAAAAUAAGUUAGCUAAUGGUCUAACAGUAAUAGAAAUAAUAGGAAAGCGAGGAAGGAAAGUGCCAGUAUUGCUCACUAAAGACAUGAAAGAAUCUGUUGAUUUUUUAUUGGCAACUCGCGUAGAAGUGAGAGUACCCGAUGAAAAUCCUUUUGUUUUUGCACGGUUAGGUGUUUUGAAUUCAUAUAUGAGAGGGCACGAUUGUAUAAAAAAAUGAUGUUCUGAAGCAAACCUGAAGUCGCCAGAAACAAUAACAAGUACAAAAUUACGAAAGUACGUAGCUACCGUUUGCCAAGUUUUCAAUCUCAAAGAAUAUAAAUGUGAUUGGCUCGCGCGACAUUUGGGCCACGAUAUAAGAGUCCAUCGUGAAUUUUACCGCCUUCAUGAAAAUACAGUAGAGCUUACCAAAGUUAGCAGGUUGCUUCUCGCAGUCGACCAAGGGCAAGCACAUUCAUUUGCUGGAAAAUCUUUGGAGGACAUUGAAGUACAGGAUGAGAUAAAUUUUAAUUUUCUUAUUGCCAGUUCUGUAAGUUUCAUUUAUAACAAGAUUUCAAAAAUAAUUUGGAUUGAUCCUAUACAGAGUACGCCAAACGAUGGCGUAUUAGAAGUAUCUAGAGAAAGAAAUAUAUUAUUAACGUUAUUUGGGCUUAUCUUAUAGUUGACUCCUAUUGUUUUUGACAUAUAAAUCCAUUUUCGAUUUUUUGACUUCAAAAACAACAUCAUUAUAAAAUGUGGUAUUUUUCUGACCAGUGCUGAUAGAAAGCUGCAUUUGUUACAAAAAAUAUUCCUUUUCGUUCUGUAGAUACUUAUAAUAUGCAAUCGAUCAAUUUUGGCCCACCCUGUAUAUCAAUGAAAUAUCAAAAUCUGUUAUUCUUCUAGAUUUACCACCUAUAGAAGAAGAUCCCCCUGAUAAAAAUGAUAACGAUGAAGCUGAUGAUAUAUGUGAUGGGGAAGUUCCAAGUAGUAGCAUUGAGGAUUCAGGUCGCAUUACUGUGAACGAAGUAGAAGAAGAAUUAACAUCUGAACCAUUAUAUGGAAAAAAUUAAAAAAACCUAAAAACGUUAAAGCUAAAAGGUCGAAGAGAGAAGCAGCUUUAGGUAGAGUUCCGUGGAGUGAUGCAGAAACAGAAGUAUUAUUGAAGAAAUUCAACGUAGAGAUUAAAAAUGGAAUCGUACCAGGAAAGGAUAAGUUUACAAAAAUCAAAGAGAAGCAUGACGACAUACUCAGUCGCAGAUCAUGGACCGAUAUCAAAUUUUUUGUUAAAAAUUUUAUAACUAGAAAUAAGAAAAUCAAAAAGUAGAGAAACAGUACUACUUACUAUUGUUAUAAUAAUUGUGCCUUCUCUUUUUUAACGUUGUACGUAACUGAAGUUUUACUUUUGGUUUAUAAUAAUGAUACAAAGUUGACUUAUGAUGAAGUUUUCCUGAAUACGUUUUCUUGAUAUUUGAAUAAAUGAUAUUUUUAUAACUCGAGAGUUUUGUGUUAUGUUAAAAUAAAAGGCAGUUUUCUCAAUCGUUGGUUGAAUAAUUGGAAGAUUCUUGGUAUGUAAUGGUAUGGGCCAAUUUGUUUGAUAUUGGUAGAAAAACUGGCCUUACUUACGUUUUCAUUAGAAGUAUUGGAGAUUUCCUUGUGAAAAGAAUUAAAAUAUUAUGUUGGAAUACUUUCAAACUAUAGAACUGUACUGAAAAUUAGGUAAAUAAAUUGUUUAAUCUCA
This 4377-nucleotide long non-coding RNA is filed under the name Leptinotarsa decemlineata (Colorado potato beetle). RNAcentral's name for it is "uncharacterized LOC111513698". Lineage: Eukaryota; Metazoa; Arthropoda; Insecta; Coleoptera; Chrysomelidae. The record is from RNAcentral.